RNAcentral lists this ribosomal RNA (1343 nucleotides) under uncultured bacterium. RNAcentral's name for it is "16S ribosomal RNA". It matches the Rfam family "Bacterial small subunit ribosomal RNA", at positions 28 to 1378 of the family's 1533-position model. The record is from RNAcentral.
GACGAACGCUGGCGGCGUGCUUAACACAUGCAAGUCGAACGGAAAGGCCCUGCUUUUGUGGGGUGCUCGAGUGGCGAACGGGUGAGUAACACGUGAGUAACCUGCCCUUGACUUUGGGAUAACUUCAGGAAACUGGGGCUAAUACCGGAUAGGAGCUCCUGCUGCAUGGUGGGGGUUGGAAAGUUUCGGCGGUUGGGGAUGGACUCGCGGCUUAUCAGCUUGUUGGUGGGGUAGUGGCUUACCAAGGCUUUGACGGGUAGCCGGCCUGAGAGGGUGACCGGCCACAUUGGGACUGAGAUACGGCCCAGACUCCUACGGGAGGCAGCAGUGGGGAAUAUUGCACAAUGGGCGGAAGCCUGAUGCAGCAACGCCGCGUGCGGGAUGACGGCCUUCGGGUUGUAAACCGCUUUCGCCUGUGACGAAGCGUGAGUGACAGUAAUGGGUAAAGAAGCACCGGCUAACUACGUGCCAGCAGCCGCGGUGAUACGUAGGGUGCGAGCGUUGUCCGGAUUUAUUGGGCGUAAAGGGCUCGUAGGUGGUUGAUCGCGUCGGAAGUGUAAUCUUGGGGCUUAACCCUGAGCGUGCUUUCGAUACGGGUUGACUUGAGGAAGGUAGGGGAGAAUGGAAUUCCUGGUGGAGCGGUGGAAUGCGCAGAUAUCAGGAGGAACACCAGUGGCGAAGGCGGUUCUCUGGGCCUUUCCUGACGCUGAGGAGCGAAAGCGUGGGGAGCGAACAGGCUUAGAUACCCUGGUAGUCCACGCUGUAAACGGUGGGUACUAGGUGUGGGGUCCAUUCCACGGGUUCCGUGCCGUAGCUAACGCUUUAAGUACCCCGCCUGGGGAGUACGGCCGCAAGGCUAAAACUCAAAGGAAUUGACGGGGCCCCGCACAAGCGGCGGAGCAUGCGGAUUAAUUCGAUGCAACGCGUAGAACCUUACCUGGGUUUGACAUGGAUCGGGAGUGCUCAGAGAUGGGUGUGCCUCUUUUGGGGUCGGUUCACAGGUGGUGCAUGCCUGUCGUCAGCUCGUGUCGUGAGAUGUUGGGUUAAGUCCCGCAACGAGCGCAACCCUUGUUCACUGUUGCCAGCACGUUAUGGUGGGGACUCAGUGGAGACCGCCGGGGUCAACUCGGAGGAAGGUGGGGAUGACGUCAAGUCCUCAUGCCCCUUAUGUCCAGGGCUUCACGCAUGCUACAAUGGCUGGUACAGAGAGUGGCGAGCCUGUGAGGGUGAGCGAAUCUCGGAAAGCCGGUCUCAGUUCGGAUUGGGGUCUGCAACUCGACCUCAUGAAGUCGGAGUCGCUAGUAAUCGCAGAUCAGCAACGCUGCGGUGAAUACGUUCCCGGG